This 253-nucleotide ribosomal RNA is filed under the name uncultured bacterium. Its description in RNAcentral is "partial 16S ribosomal RNA". It matches the Rfam family "Bacterial small subunit ribosomal RNA", at positions 524 to 776 of the family's 1533-position model. The record is from RNAcentral.
UACAGAGGGUGCAAGCGUUAAUCGGACUUACUGGGCGUAAAGGGCGCGUAGGUGGAAUUUUAAGUCAGGUGUGAAAUCCCAGGGCUCAACCUUGGAAUUGCACUUGAUACUGGGAUUCUAGAGUAUGGUAGAGGGAAGGGGAAUUUCCGGUGUAGCGGUGAAAUGCGUAGAUAUCGGAAGGAACAUCAGUGGCGAAGGCGCCUUCCUGGACCAAUACUGACACUGAGGCGCGAAAGCGUGGGUAGCAAACAGG